RNAcentral lists this ribosomal RNA (497 nucleotides) under uncultured bacterium. RNAcentral describes it as "partial 16S ribosomal RNA". It matches the Rfam family "Bacterial small subunit ribosomal RNA", at positions 28 to 507 of the family's 1533-position model. The record is from RNAcentral.
GAUGAACGCUGGCGGCGUGCCUAAUACAUGCAAGUCGAGCGACCACACGAGGAGCUUUUGCUCCUACCGUUAGCGGCGGACGGGUGAGUAACACGUGGAUAACCAACUUCUUUUUCUUGGAUAAUUUCGGGAAAACGCUGCCACUACUAGCUAAUAUAUUCUACCGCUUGGUUCAAUAGUUCUUCACGCCUUUCCCGUUUCCUAUAGAUGGAUCCGCGCCGCAUUAGCUAGUUGGUAAGGUAACGGCCUACCAAGGCAACGAUGCGUAGCCGACCUGAGAGGGUGAUCAGCCACACUGGAACUGAGACACGGUCCAGACUCCUACGGGAGGCAGCAGUAGGGAAUCUUCGGCAAUGGGCGAAAGCCUGACGCAGCAACGCCGCGUGGGUGAUGAAGGUCUUCGGGUCGUAAAGCUCUGUUGUUGGGGAAGAAAAAAUGUAUGAGUAUACCUGGCCGUCUUGACGGUACCUAAAGAGAAAGCAACGGCUAACUUCGUG